CGUUCGGAUUGCAGUCUGCAACUCGACUGCAUGAAGCCGGAAUCGCUAGUAAUCGCGGAUCAGAAUGCCGCGGUGAAUACGUUCCCGGGUCUUGUACACACCGCCCGUCACACCAUGGGAGUCGGAAAUGCCCGAAGCCGGUGGCCUAACCGAUAAGGGAGGAGCCGUCGAAGGCAGGUCUGAUGACUGGGGUGAAGUCGUAACAAGGUAAC
RNAcentral lists this ribosomal RNA (212 nucleotides) under uncultured bacterium. RNAcentral's name for it is "partial 16S ribosomal RNA". It matches the Rfam family "Bacterial small subunit ribosomal RNA", at positions 1288 to 1500 of the family's 1533-position model. The record is from RNAcentral.